GACGAACGCUGGCGGCGUGCUUAACACAUGCAAGUCGAACGGAAAGGCCCUGCUUUUGUGGGGUGCUCGAGUGGCGAACGGGUGAGUAACACGUGAGUAACCUGCCCUUGAUUUUGGGAUAACUUCAGGCAACUGGGGCUAAUACCGGAUAGGAGCUCUUGCUGCAUGGUGGGGGUUGGAAAGUUUCGGCGGUUGGGGAUGGACUCGCGGCUUAUCAGCUUGUUGGUGGGGUAGUGGCUUACCAAGGCUUUGAGGGGUAGCCGGCCUGGGAGGGUAACCGGCCACAUUGGGACGGAGCUACGGCCCAGACUCCUACGGGAGGCAGCAGUGGGGAAUAUUGCACAAUGGGCGGAAGCCUGAUGCAGUAACGCCGCGUGCGGGAUGACGGCCUUCGGGUUGUAAACCGCUUUCGCCUGUGACGAGGCGUGAGUGACGGUAAUGGGUAAAGAAGCACCGGCUAACUACGUG
Molecule: ribosomal RNA, 468 nt
Filed under: uncultured bacterium
Lineage: Bacteria
Description: partial 16S ribosomal RNA
Rfam family: Bacterial small subunit ribosomal RNA
Source: RNAcentral